RNAcentral lists this transfer RNA (70 nucleotides) under Micadina brachyptera. RNAcentral's name for it is "tRNA-Gly". The record is from RNAcentral. Lineage: Eukaryota; Metazoa; Arthropoda; Insecta; Phasmatodea; Lonchodidae.
ACUUAUUAAAUAUAUUAAGUAUAUUUAACUUCCAAUUAAAAAGACUGCACAAAUGUUAGCAGAAUAAGUA